This 626-nucleotide ribosomal RNA is filed under the name uncultured fungus. RNAcentral's name for it is "eukaryotic LSU rRNA". The stretch from base 202 to 355 matches the Rfam family "5.8S ribosomal RNA". The record is from RNAcentral. Lineage: Eukaryota; Fungi.
UCCGUAGGUGAACCUGCGGAAGGAUCAUUAAAAAUAUAGAGAAUAUUUUAUUCUUAUACCCAAUCUGAGUACUUGUACUUGUUGCUUCCGUGGGCAGCGAGCUGUUAGCUUGCGUCUGCUUUCAUUGUAGACCUGCGGGAGGUAUCAAUAAACCAUGCGUUACGUGAAAUCAGUCUGAAUUGUUUAAUUUUUAAACGUUAAAACUUUCAACAACGGAUCUCUUGGUUCUCGCAUCGAUGAAGAACGCAGCGAAAUGCGAUAAGUAGUGUGAAUUGCAGAAUUCAGUGAAUCAUCGAAUCUUUGAACGCACAUUGCGCCUUCUGGUAUUCCGGGAGGCAUGCCUGUUCGAGCGUCAUCAAAACAUUUCAAGGAUGAAUUUAUUCUUUUCUUGGUUUUGGAAUUGGAGUUGCUUGCAUCUCCCUUUCGAAAUUCAAUGGCGAAGUAGGCUGUUACAAUUAGCGUAGUAAUCAACAUUAUGUUUCGCAAUUGAGUUCGACCGCUUCUGCCGCUAAUCCUCAUAUCUAUGAAUUUGACCUCGGAUCAGGUAGGGAUACCCGCUGAACUUAAGCAUAUCAAUAAGGCGGGAGGGGAAGGUCGGACUGGCCAAGGGCACACAGGGGGGGAUA